Molecule: non-coding RNA, 2226 nt
Organism: Myodes glareolus (Bank vole)
Lineage: Eukaryota; Metazoa; Chordata; Mammalia; Rodentia; Cricetidae
Source: RefSeq, a predicted model, not a curated record
UGUGAAUGUGGAGCGAACUGCUGGUUUAACGUCCCCGUCCCCGGUCCCUGCCCCCACCCCAACACUCAGGGGUCAGAGACUGCGGUCAGCUGUGGUCAGCUGCCUUGGCUGCACACUGGAAUCCUCUGGGGGCAUUCUGGAAGCUGUGAACAUGAAGGACAGUGCUACAGCAAUUGAACAAGCUCUCUACUGGAGGCCCGAGGCACCAGUGGUCCUAAUUACUCUCCAGCUGACUCAAGUGCUCGGCCAGAGUGAAGACUCCUGGUAGGCAUUCACAUGCCUGUGGUCUUGGCAUGCUUACUUAACUCACCAAGGAAACAACAUACUCCUCAAGCCUUGAGGGACCCAUCACAAGUCCACAUGGUCACUUUCUACACUGAGGGCACACCUCCAUGAAUGUCACAGCAGGCGAAGAGCAAGUAAGUGCUUCCCUCUAAAGUGACAUGUGACGUGUGUCCCCUGACCACACUGAACUCCAAGUCAGCAAGUGGGCCAGGUAUUGGUUCCUCUAAAACGAACUGUCACCGAACUUGCACUUUUGACAACAAUUUCUGACCUCACAUGAUUCUGCGGGUCAGCUGGACAGCUCUUUUGCUGGUUUUUCUUGGGCUUAUUUUGACAGCUGAAUUUGGCUGGGCAAUUGGGGUUGGCCUGGAGAAGCCAUGAUGCCCUUGUUCACACGUGUAGCUACUGCCUGGGUACCUUGGUAGCUUUUCCUCCUCUAGCAGGCUCUGUUUACCUCCACAUGCAAAGGUCCCAGGACAGUUGUUCCGAAAGGACAAAAGCAAAAAGCUGUAGAAUUUCUUAGGCCCGGGCUCCAGAAUUUAUACAACACCGCCAUGUUUUAUUGACCAAGUCUAGCAGCAAAUCCAGCCCAAGUUCAAGGUUUGGAGAAAUUAUUUCCUAGUGUAGUUAUAUCAUAGCCAUGUUUUCACCUAUUAUAUCAGACAUGUACAAAACAAAUUCCUGCUUUUUGUGUUCUACAGUGUCACCAUAAACUCUGAAUUAAAAAUACCAAGUCAUUGCUUCUGGAGAAACAGAGUGUGUUCCUACAAGCCUCUGGCAUAAAACCACCUUAGCUAAUCAGCUCUCCAACCUUGCUUUACUUCUAUUUAAGGCUAUCUUAUCUAAUACAUAUCAUUGAUUUUGUAAACACUGAACUCUCACAGCCAACUCAGCCCACAGCCAUUCAGCCCACUGAAGUCUUACCCAUCAGAGCUUGCCUACAUGCAUUUCCUCAAAAGGAACAUUUCUGAGACAAGGAGCACCAACAAUAAGCAUUGUGUCAGUAACUGCCCUACACUUGUUAACAGGGUAAGAGCCGAGACAAGAUGGCAAAGCGCUCUGCUGUAUGCACAGCUGUGUGCCCACGGCUCACAUUGUUUACCACUCUACAUCGCCCCAAAUGAUUGCAAAAGCAACAUGAGCCCUAGGUAUUGAUUUUGAGAUGACACAUUAAUUUUUACAAGGAGAUAAGUCCACAAAUGCAGAGCCCAUAAAUCACAAGAAUCAACUGUACAGGGAAAACAGAUAAUGGUGAGAAAUACGACAUAUUUUCUUUAUUUGCUUGCCUAGUCAUCUUUGGUUGAAAGUAGACAUUUUAUAUAAUGUGACAAUUCUGAAAGUCCUGUAAUCUAAUUCUCCACCCACUUUGGGUUUGCUUUGAUGUUUGCUAUUAUUUCGUCACUAUUCUGAGCCAGGAAAUUCUCUCUCUCUCACCUUCUCUCACUGUCUUUUUCUCUUUCUCUGUCUCUGUCCCUCUCGGAGACCCCCGAGAACCCAGAACCUCAAACGUGCCAGACAAUUGCUCUAUAUCCCCAGCUCCUGCACCCAAUUCCUUUGUCUUGCACGUCCAUUCAAGUCUCUGCACAGUUAGCCAGCUUGGCGGCAUGCUGAUGACUGGAACCCAUAGGUCACCUGGUCGUGGCUGUUGGCCUUGUGUAAGCAUUGGAGCACGCCAUUGGCAGUAGCUGGGCACUGGCUGCUCUGCCUUGGCUUUUACUUCCUCCCUUUAGGGAAUCUGUAUAAAACUGCAGUCUUUGUUUAAAAAGCCCUGAGGCAAACACAAAUAAACAAACAAAAAAACAAACAAAGCUUUAUUACAUGUCACAUCCAUUUUACAGGUGUAGAAACUGAAAUCUAUAAAAGAUUAAUAACUGACCCAAGGACACCCAGAUUUUUGUUCUUUUAAAAAGAAUAUGAUGAUGGGAUGUCCCGGGCGGCUCG